UGGACGACGCUGGCGGCGUGCUUAACACAUGCAAGUCGAACGGUGACGGAGAGCUUGCUCUCCUGAUCAGUGGCGAACGGGUGAGUAACACGUGGGCAACCUGCCCCAGACUUCGGGAUAACGCUUCGAAAGAGGUGCUAAUACCGAAUACGAACGCCGUGGGCAUCCACGGUGUUGGAAAGUUUUUCGGUCUGGGAUGGGCCCGCGGCCUAUCAGCUUGUUGGUGAGGUAAUGGCUCACCAAGGCGACGACGGGUAGCCGGCCUGAGAGGGCGACCGGCCACACUGGGACUGAGACACGGCCCAGACUCCUACGGGGGGCAGCAGUGGGGAAUCUUGCACAAUGGGCGAAAGCCUGAUGCAGCGACGCCGCGUGAGCGAAGAAGGCCUUCGGGUUGUAAAGCUCUGUCUGGAGGGACGAAGAAAGUGACGGUACCUCCGGAGGAAGCCACGGCUAACUACGUG
Molecule: ribosomal RNA, 464 nt
Filed under: uncultured bacterium
Lineage: Bacteria
Description: bacterial SSU rRNA
Rfam family: Bacterial small subunit ribosomal RNA
Source: RNAcentral